CCGAGACCCGAGCGGACAACUGUGAACCAGUAAACCCGCCCGGGAGAUCCGAGGGAGGGCGACAUCCGYCGCUUGCCCCGGUCUCCUUGGGCACCUAUGGCCGCCCCCGUCCUGCCUCGYUGCGGAACGGGCGGCGGGAACAAUACCCGGCGCGGUGGGCGCCAAGGACUAGUGCUUUAGAGGAUCACCGUGCGCUGCAUCGCCCAGCGACGCGGCGCAUGAUGUGGUCCGGUAAUCAUACCAUGAACUUUACGACUCUUGGCAACGGAUAUCUUGGCUCUCGCAUCGAUGAAGAACGUAGCGAAAUGCGAUACUUGGUGUGAAUUGCAGAAUCCCGUGAACCAUCGAGUCUUUGAACGCAAGUUGCGCCCGAGGCUAUUUGGCCGAGGGCACGCCUGCCUGGGCGUCAUGCCUUACAUCGCUCCGUGCCCCCCGCUUCCACGGGCACAAAUUUGGGAACCGCCGCACCGAUGCCGAGAUUGACCUCCGUGCCUUGCGCGCGCCGGUUGAAAUGACCGUCGCUGGCCCGUUCGAACCCGGGAAAUGUGGACAAACAAAAGGACCUUGAACGUUGUGUACUCGACCCUAGCCAAAGCGGCGCGUACAAGGAGCCAUCGGACCCUAGACCCUUGACNNANCCNGUUAGGGGGGCNCCUNANU
RNAcentral lists this unclassified non-coding RNA (660 nucleotides) under Asparagus acutifolius. Its description in RNAcentral is "sequence contains ITS1, 5.8S rRNA gene, ITS2". The stretch from base 254 to 409 matches the Rfam family "5.8S ribosomal RNA". The record is from RNAcentral. Lineage: Eukaryota; Viridiplantae; Streptophyta; Magnoliopsida; Asparagales; Asparagaceae.